This 1298-nucleotide ribosomal RNA is filed under the name metagenome. RNAcentral describes it as "bacterial LSU rRNA". It matches the Rfam family "Bacterial large subunit ribosomal RNA", at positions 1589 to 2925 of the family's 2925-position model. The record is from RNAcentral.
UGCGUGUGUAAAGGUAGUGCCAAGAAAAGCGAUGAUCAUGUUGAAAAUCAAUUCCCGGUACCCGAAACCGACACAGGUGGGCAAGUAGAGAAUACUAAGGGGCGCGAGGUAACUCUCUCCAAGGAACUCGGCAAAAUGACCCCGUAACUUAGGGAGAAGGGGUGCACCGAGAGGUGGUCGCAGUGAAGAGGCCCAGGCGACUGUUUAGCAAAAACAUAGGUCUCUGCAAACUCGAAAGAGGAGGUAUAGGGGCUGACGCCUGCCCAGUGCCGGAAGGUUAAAGAAGUUGGUCAGUUUUAGGAUGAAGCUAGCGACUGAAGCCCCGGUGAACGGCGGCCGUAACUAUAACGGUCCUAAGGUAGCGAAAUUCCUUGUCGGGUAAGUUCCGACCCGCACGAAAGGCGUAACGAUCUGGGCGCUGUCUCGGAGAGAGGCUCGGCGAAAUAGGAUUGUCUGUGAAGAUACGGACUACCUGCAUUUGGACAGAAAGACCCUAUGAAGCUUUACUAUAGCUUGGAAUUGUGUUCGGGCUUCCUGUGCGCAGGAUAGGUGGGAGGCGUAGAAGGUAUUCUUGUGGGGAUACUGGAGCCAACGGUGAGAUACCACUCUCAGGAGGCUAGAAUUCUAACUUAAUUAAGGACAGUUUCAGGUGGGCAGUUUAACUGGGGCGGUCGCCUCCAAAAAGGUAACGGAGGCGUACAAAGGUUCCCUCGGACUGGUUGGAAAUCAGUCGAAGAGUGCAAAGGCAGAAGGGAGCUUGACUGCGAGAAGUACAGUUCGAGCAGGGUGGAAACACGGUCUUAGUGAUCCGACGGUGCUGUGUGGAAGGGCCGUCGCUCAACGGAUAAAAGUUACUCUUAGGAUAACAGGCUGAUCUCCCCCAAGAGUUCACAUCGACGGGGAGGUUUGGCACCUCGAUGUCGGCUCAUCGCAACCUGGGGCGGAAGUACGUCCCAAGGGUUGGGCUGUUCGCCCAUUAAAGCGGUACGUGAGCUGGGUUCAGAACGUCGUGAGACAGUUCGGUCCAUAUCCGAUGUAGGCGUGAGAAUAUUGAGAGGAGCCUUCCUUAGUACGAGAGGACCGGGAAGGAUGCACCGCUGGUGUACCUGUUAUGAUGCCAAUUGUAAACGCAGGGUAGCCAAGUGCGGAGAGGAUAACCGCCGAAAGCAUCUAAGUGGGAAGCCCACCUCAAGAUGAGUAUUCUGGUGUAAGGUCACGGGAAGACGACCCGUAAAUAGGCACGAGGUGGAAGUGCAGAGAUGUAUGAAGCCGAAGUGUACUAAUAGACCGUCGGCUUG